UCGUCAGGGAAAUACAAGCAAAGCUUUAAACCCAAAGGACUUGACGGUAUUCCACAUCCCCCUAGAGGAGCCUGUCCAAUAAUCGAUAACCCUCGCUUUACCUCACCACAUCUUGCUUAUCAGCCUGUAUACUUCCGUCGUAAGUAAGCCACAUGAAUGAACCUUAGUAAGCCCAAUGUCUACACAUAAAUGUGUUGAACAACAAUACGUCAGGUCAAGGUGCAGCGGAUGAUGUGGAAUGUGAUUGGCUACACUUUUUAACUUAAAAGAAACGGAAGACAAAAAAUGAAACUCUGUCAGAAGGCGGAUUUAGAAGUAAGAAAAAGAUAUCAUAUUUUUCUUAAUAAGGGCACUGGAGUAU
RNAcentral lists this ribosomal RNA (361 nucleotides) under Eleutherodactylus riparius. Its description in RNAcentral is "partial 12S ribosomal RNA". It matches the Rfam family "Bacterial small subunit ribosomal RNA", at positions 869 to 1382 of the family's 1533-position model. The record is from RNAcentral. Lineage: Eukaryota; Metazoa; Chordata; Amphibia; Anura; Eleutherodactylidae.